AGGGAAUCUUCCACAAUGGACGCAAGUCUGAUGGAGCAACGCCGCGUGAGUGAAGAAGGUUUUCGGAUCGUAAAGCUCUGUUGUUGGUGAAGAAGGAUAGAGGCAGUAACUGGUCUUUAUUUGACGGUAAUCAACCAGAAAGUCACGGCUAACUACGUGCCAGCAGCCGCGGUAAUACGUAGGUGGCAAGCGUUGUCCGGAUUUAUUGGGCGUAAAGCGAGCGCAGGCGGAAUGAUAAGUCUGAUGUGAAAGCCCACGGCUCAACCGUGGAACUGCAUCGGAAACUGUCAUUCUUGAGUGCAGAAGAGGAGAGUGGAACUCCAUGUGUAGCGGUGGAAUGCGUAGAUAUAUGGAAGAACACCAGUGGCGAAGGCGGCUCUCUGGUCUGCGACUGACGCUGAGGCUCGAAAGCAUGGGUAGCGAACAGGAUUAGAUACCCUGGUAGUCCAUGCCGUAAACGAUGAGCGCUAGGUGUU
This 476-nucleotide ribosomal RNA is filed under the name uncultured bacterium. Its description in RNAcentral is "partial 16S ribosomal RNA". It matches the Rfam family "Bacterial small subunit ribosomal RNA", at positions 356 to 824 of the family's 1533-position model. The record is from RNAcentral.